Molecule: long non-coding RNA, 233 nt
Filed under: Lathyrus oleraceus (garden pea)
Lineage: Eukaryota; Viridiplantae; Streptophyta; Magnoliopsida; Fabales; Fabaceae
Description: Pisum sativum (pea) long non-coding RNA (PSAT_LNC018701)
Source: RNAcentral
CUGUGGUGGUCGGAGAUGUUGAAGGACUUAGCGAUGAUGAUGAUGGCGAUUUGGGGUUUUACACGGCGAUUUGAUGGUGAAGACGGAGGGUGGUGGAUUGUUGAGCUCGUUAUGAGGGAGAAUCGUGACGGAUGGUGGUGGUGGAGGCGGAUGAAGGUGAGUGGAAGCGAAGGUUUGGAUAUGGUGGCGGCUAGGUCAAGAGGAGAGGAAAACAUUUUUCAUUCUAUUAUUUU